UACGGAGGGAGCUAGCGUUGUUCGGAAUUACUGGGCGUAAAGCGCACGUAGGCGGCUUGGCAAGUCGGAUGUGAAAUCCCUCGGCUCAACCAAGGAAGUGCAUCCGAAACUGCCGAGCUUGAGUACUUAAGAGGAUCGCGGAAUUCCCGGUGUAGAGGUGAAAUUCGUAGAUAUCGGAAGGAACACCAGUGGCGAAAGCGGCUUCCUGGUCCAGCACCGACGUUCAGGCACGAAAGCGUGGGGAGCAAACAGG
RNAcentral lists this ribosomal RNA (253 nucleotides) under uncultured bacterium. RNAcentral describes it as "partial 16S ribosomal RNA". It matches the Rfam family "Bacterial small subunit ribosomal RNA", at positions 524 to 776 of the family's 1533-position model. The record is from RNAcentral.